This 458-nucleotide ribosomal RNA is filed under the name uncultured bacterium. RNAcentral describes it as "partial 16S ribosomal RNA". It matches the Rfam family "Bacterial small subunit ribosomal RNA", at positions 338 to 795 of the family's 1533-position model. The record is from RNAcentral.
CCUACGGGUGGCAGCAGUGGGGAAUAUUGCACAAUGGGGGAAACCCUGAUGCAGCGACGCCGCGUGAGUGAAGAAGUAUUUCGGUACGUAAAGCUCUAUCAGCAGGGAAGAAAAACCGGCCUUAGGGCCGCCAGACGGUACCUGACUAAGAAGCCCCGGCUAACUACGUGCCAGCAGCCGCGGUAAUACGUAGGGGGCAAGCGUUAUCCGGAUUUACUGGGUGUAAAGGGAGCGUAGACGGCAGCGCAAGUCUGGAGUGAAAUGCCGGGGCCCAACCCCGGAACUGAUUUGGAAACUGUGCAGCUGGAGUGCAGGAGAGGUAAGCGGAAUUCCUAGGGUGGCGGGGAAAUGCGUAGAGAUUAGGAGGAACACCAGGGGCGAAGGCGGCUUACUGGACUGUAAUUGACGUGGAGGCUCGAAAGCGUGGGGAGCAAACAGGAUUAGAUACCCGGGUAGUC